UACGUAGGCAGCAAGCGUUGUUCGGAGUUACUGGGCGUAAAGGGUGUGUAGGCGGUUGCUUAAGUUUGGUGUGAAAUCUCCCGGCUCAACUGGGAGGGUGCGCCGAAUACUGAGUGACUCGAGUGCGGGAGAGGAAAGUGGAAUUCCUGGUGUAGCGGUGAAAUGCGUAGAUAUCAGGAGGAACAUCGGUGGUGUAGACGGCUUUCUGGACCGUAACUGACGCUGAGACACGAAAGCGUGGGUAGCAAACAGG
Molecule: ribosomal RNA, 253 nt
Filed under: uncultured bacterium
Lineage: Bacteria
Description: partial 16S ribosomal RNA
Rfam family: Bacterial small subunit ribosomal RNA
Source: RNAcentral